CAAGGUGAGGUGCGUGAUGGGCUUGGCCCUGUCCCCCACUCACAAGCCAGCAGCAGUAGCUAUCCCUGGAGGGGAAGAGCCGCUGCACUCUGCUAAAAGGUGCUGCAGCACUGCACCAUACUGCUACAAGUAACAGCAAUAUAGAAAAUGAUGGCCUAAAGAACACAAGGUUUGAUCCUAUAUCAUUGAAGUUAUCAGUACAGUAGACAUUGACUUUAACGGGAGCUAGAUCAGGCAACAGAGGUGAAACCCAAAACAUGAAAGAUAGCUGAAAUGUAAAUGUCUCCCACAAGAUCCGUUUUCUUGUUUGCAGAAGUGCCUUCUUCAGGAAUAAAAUAUGGAUGUGAUAUGUUUCUAGACCUCAAUUUAGCCAAGGUUGAAAUCUUGCCAGCCCAGUUAAACAGCCAUAAAAUUGGAUUUGACAGUACAGAUACUAAUCACAAAAGAGUACGACUGUUAUGAUACUUAUGAACUUGCUGGAUUCUAACUAGAUCAAAGUGCCAGAAGGGGUUACUCAGCACCUUGAUGAAACAGGAUGAGAGACCGGGUUAACCUAACUAGGCCUUUAAAAAAACAAGUAUUGUGGAAGCCCUGCAGAAUUCCAGCUGUCACUCAUUGCAAAUUCAGGAGUCAUUUAAUGUCACCACUGCUGUAGGUGGGCAGGAGCUGAACUCCAGCAAUUUCACAACUUUACUUUUUCUGAAAUAAAAGCCCCUUCCUCUUUCA
Long non-coding RNA from Mauremys reevesii (Reeves's turtle), 726 nucleotides. RefSeq lists it as uncharacterized. The transcript is spliced from 2 exons. NCBI's taxonomy places the organism in Eukaryota, Metazoa, Chordata, Testudines, Geoemydidae. The record is from RefSeq and is a predicted model, not a curated record.